UAACCCACUCCCAAGUGUCUUGGGCAAAUUGGGGGGCGGAGGGGGUGGCGAAGAGAGCAGAACAUAUGCUUCCUGAAAGGUAGUGACACUAACACCGAGUCCCCGGGGCAGCAGCAGCCCCUGGGUCUCUGUCUGUCUGGUCCCCCCAGCAAAGGGCUUGAGUCAGCCUCUGCGGCCAGCUACCCUACGUUUCUGUCCUCAGAGUGGAAGGACAGCCGGUGAGCCCCGGUGUCCGGGAGGGGACCGCGGAGAGGCCCAGCCGGCAUCUGCAGUGAAUGCAGGACCCCGUUCCUGCCCUUCGGGCACAUGUUUCGUGUGCCAGGCCUUGACCACACCCGGCAGCCCUGGGCUGCUCUUCUUCAUUUUCUGCCCUCUUGGCUUGGAACCUUCCCGGGGCAGCGUCCUGGGGACACAUCCGGGCUGGGGGAGGCAGCUGAGCAGCCCUAGGUCUGGGAACCUGUGCACCACCCAAGCCCCGUCCCUUCAGGGGUCCCGUGAGCACUGGAACAGGAGCUGGGGGGCACAGAGUAGCCACCUACCAAUCAGCCCUGGGAUGCCCCUGCGCUGCCCUGUUUAUCCAUGUGUCUGUCCAUCUUUCCUUGUAAGACUGUUUAUGGAGAGACGACUCUGUCCCAGGCCUGCUACUCCAGAGUGCCCGAAACGCUGGGAGAAGCAGGGAAAAACGUGCCCCCUGAAGACGCAGGAAGCUGUUAUGGAAGGAGUAUAGCUCCAAGAGAGUCAGAGGCGUCCACGUUCAGCUCUGCCUCAUUUGCUGUCUCAGGGGCUCGGCUCCCCGGGCUGGGGGCGCCCGGUCCCUCCUGCAGGGCGUCCUGAGGAGACAGGGUGAUGGGAGAUGUUCGCAGAGGACCCGGCACAUAGCAGUUUCAGGCUUUUAUUUUUCCAUUUCUACAGUCUGUUACAGAAUCUGCUCAGUGAGGAAGGGAAGAGAAACCGAGUCGGUCGGGCCUCCUCCUCGGAACCUUUGCGAGGCCAGCUGGCCGGAGGGAAGCGGCCUUAGGUUCGGGGCGAUGCCGGGGCCCCAGCGGCUCCAAGAGCAGGCAGAGCCCUGUUCUCUCAGAGAAGUUCACGUUCCGCUGCGAAGCUCAGCUGCCGGGUCCACCGAAUGUGCCUACGUUAGAA
Long non-coding RNA from Herpailurus yagouaroundi (jaguarundi), 1140 nucleotides. RefSeq lists it as uncharacterized. Lineage: Eukaryota; Metazoa; Chordata; Mammalia; Carnivora; Felidae. The record is from RefSeq and is a predicted model, not a curated record. The transcript has 3 exons.